Long non-coding RNA from Coregonus clupeaformis (lake whitefish), 554 nucleotides. RefSeq lists it as uncharacterized. The record is from RefSeq and is a predicted model, not a curated record. Lineage: Eukaryota; Metazoa; Chordata; Actinopteri; Salmoniformes; Salmonidae. The transcript is spliced from 2 exons.
ACUAGUUUUUCUUCCGGAUUAGUCCAACAUGGUCGCGUCCUUAUGAUUUACGAUAUAUGUACAGUCAAGCUGCAAAAAACUUGAAAACAUGCAAAUCAAAGAAAUAGUCAAGUGGAAUGUACGGGUGUCUAUGCUGUACGCUUUCGGUAUAUGGACAUUGCUCGGCACAUACGGAUAUUAUCAGUACAUGGGGCGCAAUGAAGAAAAGCCAGUCAAAGAAGAGAAGGAGGAAGAACCUCCAAAUCCUAGAGAAGUGACUAUCCAGAGUGCCCACAUGAAAACCACCAUCAUAUACAAGGAAAACUUUGUUCCUUAUUCUACAAGGAUCUACAAUUUUGUCAGCUCGCUCAGUGGGGACUCAGCAUCUGCAGACAGCCAAGACAAUACAAAGUAAUGGUGAAAAUGUACAUGGACAGAUGCCAUUGCCUGCCUAGGCCAUCAUGCCUAGGCUACCACAUUUUAGAUGUGUGUAGCUAAAUACUUAGUGUUAAUUCCUAUCUUGUAAAUUGUACUUUGAUUAUAUCUCUGUGUGUAAAAUACACUGAUUUAAAUUA